Lagopus muta (rock ptarmigan) is the source of this 7418-nucleotide long non-coding RNA. RefSeq lists it as uncharacterized. The record is from RefSeq and is a predicted model, not a curated record. The transcript is spliced from 5 exons. NCBI's taxonomy places the organism in Eukaryota, Metazoa, Chordata, Aves, Galliformes, Phasianidae.
CCAGAAGGCUUCCCUUUGGAGUCAGAUACACUUCUUUGUGUCGUUAGAACAGAACAGGGGGGUACAUUUUCCUUCUUUGAGCUAUUAGUUUUGUAAAUCAUUCCAAACAGCCUCUCCCCUGGGUCACUCCACCUUCCCCAGCAGCAGCUGGUGGUGGAGCACCCUUUUAGCUGAUGAGAAGCCCUCAAUCACUGCCAGCUGCACACUGCCCCUGAACUCCAUCCUGCAACUCCCACCUUCCCAGCAGAUGUUACACAGCCAUACUUUAGUGAGCUAUCAAUUAAGGGAAUGCAGUUACCCUAAGGUAUAUCUGAGGAAGAUCCUACCUCUAGGCCACUUCCUUAGUUCUGUACCAUGCAUUUUUAUGAAGCUUGCAACCUGAAUGUUUCUUGAGUUGCAGGCACUGAACCUGCAUGCAUUCUCCUGUGCCCAGGCCCUGACUCCUCAGCAGGCACAGGGGGUGAGCCCAGCUCCCUACAGCAGCCCCAUGCAGGAUGCCGGGAGAGAAGUGGCCAUCAAAUGCUCUUGGAGAGCAACUGGAGCUCAAAGAGGUGGAAGAUCACCUGUGCUCACUCUGUGGUGUGUGGAAGGGCUUCAGGCACAGCAGGGUUGGUCCUCUGUGUGUGCAUGAAAUACAAAGUGUGCCUGCAGUCCAAGCACCUCCUUCUGAGCCCCCACACCAAGUGCAGAUGGAUUGGUUCUUUGGCCACUCACCUUACCUCCAAGUCCUCCUGUGUAGCCACUUCAUGUGCAAUGAAAUGAUGGCUGUGAUGCCAAUGCACAGACGAGGAGCUUUCGCUGCUGGUUUGCAGGGCCAAGGCUUUUGAAGUACAGCUAAAGGCAUCAAAGCAAAAUAAGGCAACGACAAGAGAGCUUGGGGGACUGGUAAUGGGACACCCAGCUUUUCAUGUUUGGGACUGAAGUCUCUGUUGAAAGUGAUUUUGUACUUGUUAAGUCUUGUGGAUGUGGGACUGCAGUCCAUUCCUAGAAAUCUAGUGGGACUAAUGCAUAACAGCUUUGUUCAGCAAACUCAGGAAGCCCUGAAGCUGUCCCAUGUGCCCUCACCAGCCUGUUACUGAAAGGAGCCUAUGCUGGCAUGGCCAUUCUGCGAUUGUCAUCCAACAAGCAAGCGCCACAGCACGUAGUGCACUGAGUUCCUCCUGUUCCGUGGGUGCUUUUGUAUUGGAAAUUUUUAUUUUCUGUGCUAAGAAACACUGGGCCAGGCUGGCAGCACUGGAGACAGUUAGAAGAAACAAGUGGCCUGUCCUUGGAGCAAGGAAAGUCUUAAUUUUUGCUUGAGCAAUGCAGGGAAAUACCAGAAGUAGGCAUGUCGAAGAGAUCUACUUAUCCUUUAAUUGCUGCUUUAUGUACCACUCAUAGCAGUGUGGUCAGCAAUAUUCUUCAUUCAUAAUUGCAGCUGUGCAUCUUACGACUCUUCAAGCUGACAUUUCUUGCAGGCAAUGGGGUGAACCAGAAAGGGAGAUCUGCUACACUGCCCCGGAAGUUUGUAGUGAUGUCAGUAUUGGGCAACAAGGAACAAACAACAACCAUCGUUACAAAGCCUCCAUAAAGGAAAUGGAAUGGGCUGAACUACUCCCUCUGUAUUGGUAUUUAUGCAGGAUGUGAAUCAACCAGCAUACAAGCCAAUAGUGCAUGAUCAAAGGGUGAAUACUAAUGAUAAUAAGUUAUAUAAUAUCCCUUUCAUACCAGUAGGAGUAUUACAUCCAUACCCUUCCCACGUGCCUGUGUGAUGGCAUCAAGAAUUUUCUUUUCUAGCAAGGCAGAAAUAAGAAUUGCCUAAGCAACCUAUGCUUUGCAUUCUCUCUUCCUAGAAAAUAUUCAAUGAACAAAACUGACAGGGAUCUUUUUAUUCAGGUGAUUUUCAGAUACACUUUUAACCCUAUCUUACAUGCUUGAGUUAUUAUGGCUGGAAAAAAUGAUCUAUUUAAUAGACCAUUGCAGGAGUUGCUAAAAUUGAAACUUGGAGAGAUGGGGACAGAUAUUCCUCUGGCACAGCUCAGGCAGGGGCUGAAUACUCAGUGCUGAGCUGAAGUUCCUGGGCCAAUGGGGAUGACCCUGGUGAGUGCAAAAUGUGUGUAAAUGCAGUGCUAGAUUCAUGUGUACCUAAUAACUUUUGCUGAGAUGUGAAUUUGGGCAUUUCACUAAGCAGUAAGUUCUGGAGGAAUAAUGAGCUUACUGGUCCACUUGGGUGCUUUGUGGAGCUGAACAAAGUAUUUGCUUUGGUCUCUGACUCUUCCAUGAGGAAAACCAGCCUAUUGCUUUUGUGACUUCCACGUGUCUGUCAAGCAAAAAUAACUUUCUCAUUUGGGAUGUAAAGAUAUGCUAUUACAGAUGGGGUGCUUAUUAUUAUCAAAGUCUCUGAUGGAGGUGGGUUCUCCUUCAUUUGCACUCAGAUAUCCAAUAUCUCAGAGGUACAGCUCCAACACUGUGAAUUUGAUGUGGAGUAUCUUUGACCUGUUUUAAUGCUAUUUCCAUCCUAAAUAUCAUUUUAAAAUCUACAGACAUACUUUUUGUGUUGUCUGCAGUUCUUCCCUUUCCAGGAAACACCUUUAAUUUAAAUAGGAAAAAGUCUGGGUAAUAAAACAAAGCAAAACGCAGUAGUGAGGAAGGUGGCCCCCAGCUGUGAUAGCUCAAAGUAUUGAUUUUUCCUUUCUUCUCUCAGAAAUUAAAGGAGUCAGCCUGGUUUCAGCUCAGCUGCUACAAGCUGAUUUUAACAAUUUCCCAAGCUUGAUUUCAUUAAUUUACCAUCCUUACUGCUGUACAUAUCCAACUGUGCACUUGUAUAGAGAGAAGUUCAGCUGCCUAUGUUGUGCUCCUGGCUGACAGCUUGGGAGCACCUGCACUAGCCUGGCCUCAGCACAUCCUGGGUGGAUGGAGUUGUCCUGUGUCUGGCAGCUCAGGCUGAGCGUUUCAGAGCCAUUGCUGCUCCUGCUGGAGGCUCCACAGUGUUUGUGCUGCACGCUGAGCCAGCCAGCUUGUAGGAUGGAGUGGUGAGUUUUCCCCUGGGGAAACUUUCCUGCCAUUUCAUUUGGAAAAUAAUAAAAAGGAAGCAUGAAGCUUCUCCGUAGUGGUGAAUUCAGAAAAGGGGGGAAUGACUGCAGUGUUCUGUUAAAUGCACGCUGCCACGAGGGAAAGGAUGCUGCUGCUGCUGAAUUUGGGGUGGAUUAAAACUCCCUUGCAGUAUAGGACAGAGUAUUCUCAUUUGGUGCUUGGAGUUUAUCCAGAACAGAAAUUCAGAUCAGACCAUUGCUCUAACAAUUGCUAGAUCCUGUCUUCUCAUCUCUGUACAAAAAAAACAAAGUAGAUUUUUGUCUCCAGCCUGACUCUCGUUUCUGCUCUUGGCUGAGCACUCAUUUCAGGUAAACGCUGCAGGACAAGUUUGUUCUAUUGUUGAAACUGUAGAAGUCCAGGGAUAGAUUUUUGUGGGACUUUUUCUUCAUUGCAGGCUUCAGAGUUUACGCAAAGGCCAGCUUGCUGUUUCUUUCAGUCAUGAAAAUAUCUUAAAUAAGGUCUUUUAUAGCCUCAUCAUCUUUAUUCGUUGUUGGGCUUUUAAAAUACAUUUCAGGAUUUAUUAGCCAUGUAUAUGGAAAACACCCCAAAUCUGAUAAUCUACGGUUAAAUUGAUUACACUUUACAAGGCUUUGUGACGUUUUAAGUACUUCAUUGAAGCUACAGCUGUAAUAAGAUUAUUACUAGGUUAUUGGCAUUAAACGUAAUAAUAGCCACAAGGAUUUAAGUUGAUGCAUGGGUUGGAAAUGGGAUAAAAUGUAUCAUUGAUUAUGCUGGUAUUUACUCCUAGCUCCUCUGGCACUCUGCCCAGUUGAAGUGGGGAAGUUCUGAUCUUCCUGAUAAGAAGCUGAGCUUCCAACCAUUGUGCAGCAGCAGAAUCAGGCUCAUGGGAAUAGCCCAACACGGUGAAAUCAAAAUAUCCUUUGGGUAAGCAGAUAGAAAUAUAGCAUUAAUUUCUUCAGAUUGUUUCCCAAAUGACCAAGUAGUCACGGGGAACUGGGCGUUUUCCUCAAGUGAUUUUCCAGGUUUGUUCUUUGAAAUGUGUUAACGUGUCCCCAUUCCCCCAGAAGAGCUACCUGGAUUGAAUGGUCUAAAGCCUCUCGGAUCAGCAAGAAGUUAGCAAGUAGAGAUGGGAAAUUGAAUCCUGUCACUAACUUUGAACAGGCAGUGUAAGAUGGCUGGGAUAAAUGAGAAGGCUUAAGGGAAGUAUGGUUCUUGAAGGACUUUAUUACUUACAGUCUGUAGUAGUGAUUUUGAUUAAUAGCUCUCUAAUAUUGGAAGCACUGUAUCCAAAUCAAAGGGAGCUCCCUGUGCUGCAGCUAUGCAAGGCCCCUGGAGCUCAGUCUAAGGAACACAAUGAUAAGAUAAUUCAUGUGCAUGUUAAAAAAAAUGGAAUGGCAGAAGUGGAAAAGAGGGCAAAGGUGUUAAAAAUGCCAUUAUCUGUUCUAUCUGUUUCAGUUAGGAUCAGCUGUAGCGUGUGCUGUGUUCAGAGACCUGUUAGUCCAAGUGCCUCUGAGUGGAGCUGAGUCUGAGCUGUUGAAAAUUGCUGCAUGUGAUGCAGAUUGCACCAGUUCUUUGUGUGCUGUGGCAUGAUUUCCUUCACCCAGACAGACCAUCUGAGGCUGAGAGGUUAUCUGGCUGCUUAUGCUGUACAGACUGUAGCUUUGCCAUCUACACUUGCUUCCUCACUCUGAAAAAUCAGCUAGUUAGCUGGCAUUGGAUGUGAAUUUCCCAUUCGUGCCAGCUGGUGCAGUGCCCCAGCUGACAUCCCGCUCUAAAUGAGGUCUAUGAAGGUGGAUACAGCAAUUGAAUUUCUGUCAUUUGUUCAGAUCUUUGGGUGCAUAAAUUGAUAGGCUGUAGCCUCUAUGACCCUGUACUGAAGAUGACCACUCUCUUUACAGCAUCUCAGCAGGACUUUGUGACGACAUUAUCCGCUUUCAGAGCAGAGGUUGGGGAGGGCUGUGCUCCUGAAGCGUCACACAAGCCACAUCCAGCUCUACUUUCCCUGGAUGCAGCCAGCCCAACUCCUGUGAGAUAAUGAGCCAAAUUCUGUUCUCAGUGAUAUUUGUGGAGUUGUCCCAUAUUUGUCCUGAAUAAAUCAGAAUCAGUCUUACCAUGCUCAGGAAAGCCAACGAGGUUUUGGUCCCCAUUAAGUCAGUGGGAAUUUUGCCACUGACUGCUGCAGGCCUGGGUUUCAUUUACAAAUAAUGACUUUCAAUUUAAUUUUACUACUUUCUACUGGAGAAGGCAAUGCAGUCCCAAACCUGAAGUAAACACCUGGUGCCAUCUAAAGCAGCUCCCAGCUAAAGGUGCAUUGUGUUUCCCAUAAAGGCUGCUGCAGUAUUUAGUUGGCCAGGAUGUUUUCCUUUCAUGCUAAAUCAACGGCUCUAAUUAAGCAUGAUGACAAAAUAUGAGGACUUCUAUGUAAUUAUGGCAACGACACCACCUGCUUCUAAUUAAGCUGCCAAAACAUUUGGUCUAAAAUGGUGCAAUGAAUAAAGAAAAAAAAAAUCCAAUAUUUUGGCAAUGCAACAACAGGCUGGUUUUCCUCACGUAAUUAGUUUUAACAAAGUAUUGCUAAUCUGUUUUCUGAUUAAUAGACUACUUAAUCUUAUAGCAGCGUGACAAGAUUCUGAGCUGCCUCUGGUUUAAGUUUCCACCAAAACAGCUAACAUUUCUAGCAGUUUUAAGAAUAUACUUAUAUGAGAAACAAUAUAGUUUCUUAUUAUUUUCAUUAUUCUUCAUGAGACCCCCAAAGGUUACUUUCUUUGAAUUCACUGAACUUUAAAGGCUUUUAUUAAAUUGGAAGCCACAGGAGAAGCUGAUUUUAUUUUUUUUUCCUCUUCCUCAUUCCUUGUAUGGAGAAGUCAGUGGUACGAGUAACUGGGGGGAGAGAUGCCCUGAAAGCUUACAGGCUCUGCACGUUCUACAGUGGCUGGUUGGUUGGCAUAAAGUGUCAGCUCUGUGGGCUGCUGCGAUGCCCUGGGGUGUUCAGUGGCUGAUGGUGUCCCCUAGAAAUGCUUCUUAGGUUGGAAUUACUGACAAUGAGGAGAGGAAUAUAAUGCGUAACAACAGCAAAGCAGCCCAAACGCUUUUUCAGGACUCGUGUGGCCAUUUGGGUUUCAGAGCUGUUAAUGUAACCUGGCAUGUUAAAUCAGACAUGAUCAACACUGUAAAAGAGCCAAGCAUACCAACAGUACAGAUGGGUGGUAGAUAAGGAAAGAAGCCGCGACUGAGCAGUGUAGAACUGCGGAUCAAACCACACUGAUGUAUAGGACUUACAUUUCCAAAAAUCAUCAUUUGAAUACCAGGAUGAAAGCAGGUAGCUGUGCAGUCGCUGUAGGUGCUAAUUCUUUAAGAACAAGUUGUUAGCCACUUUCUUGUGUCUUGACCUGGCUGCCUUAGAUUUUCUUUGAGCACGAUUUUCCACUGCCUUGCGCCCUUGUGGUGACUCCAUAAAUAGGUGUGAACAGUUUCUGCCAGCCGCGGUGCUCUGUGUCUGUCCUUCUGUUCUGCCAAGUCUCUCUCCCAUAGCACUGUCUGGGCUGGAUUAUCUAUUCCCAUUCCAGCUGGAAAGUCUUGUCUAUCUUCAAAAUUCAGACGAGUUUCAAGAAAGUCCAAGAAAUUGGCAGCUCUCAGCUCUUAUUAAAGGUGACUGUUAAUUCAAAGAGUAUAUUUCAAUUUUCUCAGCCUGAAGUGAUGAUAAUGGCAGCGUUCUUCUAUCUGCUGUUCUUCUGUUUAUAGUGCUGGGAUGGUGGUGAGAUUUUGGCAUUUGAGAAGUGGCUUCUUGGCACAGCUCCGUGCUGUGGUGGCCCAUAUACAGCCACAUGAAUGAUGUACCCUCUGCUGGUCGGGCAACCCUUAUAUCUGCAUGUUCACAUGCCCUUCAGCAUCAGGUGCAGAAGUCCAUCUUUUAUCUCCAGAUUCCCUUAGUGCAAGCAGGAAGUCAGUUGGUUAUGGAGUGAAGCUUAACAGAUUUGCCAAAUAAAAACGUCACUGAUGUUUUGUACCAUGGUUGUACCAUGACCUGCUGGGAGAGAGUCAGCAGUGUAAGCACAGUCUUGAAAUUCCACCUCCUAGCACCACUUGAGACGUGCAGUCCUAAAGAUAACACGUGCUUUCUGUACAGCUGCAUGAUAAGAAGAAAAGAGGAAGAUCAGAGGUCUUGUUUCAUGCUGAUAGAGAGUGUGGAUCCAAACCCCAGUGCGAUGAGUGCCCCACACAUCUGCUGGAGCUCCAGCCAACAAGACAAGCCAGAAUCCCUAUCAGCUCCCAGAUCUCAUCCAAACCCAGCCCUGCCACUCCAUGACAGCAGCAACAAACCUUUGGUGACCUCACCCUGCUUAUGCAUCAGAGUGGCAGAUGAAAUGCUUAUGAUGUAGUUUUUU